Molecule: ribosomal RNA, 783 nt
Filed under: uncultured Acinetobacter sp.
Lineage: Bacteria; Pseudomonadati; Pseudomonadota; Gammaproteobacteria; Moraxellales; Moraxellaceae
Description: bacterial SSU rRNA
Rfam family: Bacterial small subunit ribosomal RNA
Source: RNAcentral
GGCGGACGGGUGAGUAAUGCUUAGGAAUCUGCCUAUUAGUGGGGGACAACAUCUCGAAAGGGAUGCUAAUACCGCAUACGUCCUACGGGAGAAAGCAGGGGACCUUCGGGCCUUGCGCUAAUAGAUGAGCCUAAGUCGGAUUAGCUAGUUGGUGGGGUAAAGGCCUACCAAGGCGACGAUCUGUAGCGGGUCUGAGAGGAUGAUCCGCCACACUGGGACUGAGACACGGCCCAGACUCCUACGGGAGGCAGCAGUGGGGAAUAUUGGACAAUGGGGGGAACCCUGAUCCAGCCAUGCCGCGUGUGUGAAGAAGGCCUUUUGGUUGUAAAGCACUUUAAGCGAGGAGGAGGCUACCGAGAUUAAUACUUUUGGAUAGUGGACGUUACUCGCAGAAUAAGCACCGGCUAACUCUGUGCCAGCAGCCGCGGUAAUACAGAGGGUGCAAGCGUUAAUCGGAUUUACUGGGCGUAAAGCGCGCGUAGGUGGCCAAUUAAGUCAAACGUGAAAUCCCCGAGCUUAACUUGGGAAUUGCAUUCGAUACUGGUUGGCUAGAGUAUGGGAGAGGAUGGUAGAAUUCCAGGUGUAGCGGUGAAAUGCGUAGAGAUCUGGAGGAAUACCGAUGGCGAAGGCAGCCAUCUGGCCUAAUACUGACACUGAGGUGCGAAAGCAUGGGGAGCAAACAGGAUUAGAUACCCUGGUAGUCCAUGCCGUAAACGAUGGGUACAACCCGUUGGGGCCUUUGAGGCUUUAGUGGCGCAGCUAACGCGAUAAGUAGACCGCCUG